CCUACGGGUGGCUGCAGUGGGGAAUAUUGGGCAAUGGGCGCAAGCCUGACCCAGCAACGCCGCGUGAAGGAAGAAGGCUUUCGGGUUGUAAACUUCUUUUGACAGGGAAGAGCAGAAGACGGUACCUGUCGAAUAAGCCACGGCUAACUACGUGCCAGCAGCCGCGGUCAUACGUAGGUGGCAAGCGUUGUCCGGAUUUACUGGGUGUAAAGGGCGUGUAGCCGGGCUGACAAGUCAGAUGGGAAAUCCGGGGGCUCAACCCCCGAACUGCAUUUGAAAAUGUUGGUCUUGAGUAUCGGAGAGGCAGGCGGAAUUCCUAGUGUAGCGGUGAAAUGCGUAGAUAUUAGGAGGAACACCAGUGGCGAAGG
This 368-nucleotide ribosomal RNA is filed under the name uncultured bacterium. RNAcentral describes it as "partial 16S ribosomal RNA". It matches the Rfam family "Bacterial small subunit ribosomal RNA", at positions 338 to 721 of the family's 1533-position model. The record is from RNAcentral.